UGGGGAAUAUUGCACAAUGGGCGGAAGCCUGAUGCAGCAACGCCGCGUGAGUGAUGAAGGCCUUCGGGUUGUAAAGCUCUGUCUUUUGGGACGAUAAUGACGGUACCAAAGGAGGAAGCCACGGCUAACUACGUGCCAGCAGCCGCGGUAAUACGUAGGUGGCAAGCGUUGUCCGGAUUUACUGGGCGUAAAGGAUGCGUAGGCGGAUUUUUAAGUGAGAUGUGAAAUACCCGGGCUUAACUUGGGUGCUGCAUUUCAAACUGGGAAUCUAGAGUGCGGGAGAGGAGAAUGGAAUUCCUAGUGUAGCGGUGAAAUGCGUAGAGAUUAGGAAGAACACCAGUGGCGAAGGCGAUUCUCUGGACCGUAACUGACGCUGAGGCAUGAAAGCGUGGGUAGCAAACAGGAUUAGAUACCCUGGUAGUCCACGCCGUAAACGAUGAGUACUAGGUGUAGGAGGUAUCGACCCCUUCUGUGCCGCAGUUAACACAAUAAGUACUCCGCCUGGGAAGUACGAUCGCAAGAUUAAAAGCUUAAAUGAAUUGACGGGGUCAUAGCUGUUUUCCU
Molecule: ribosomal RNA, 564 nt
Filed under: uncultured bacterium
Lineage: Bacteria
Description: partial 16S ribosomal RNA
Rfam family: Bacterial small subunit ribosomal RNA
Source: RNAcentral